UGUUAUAUUGAUAUUGGGGCAGUCAACAGAUGACUCGAAUUCGAGGACGAAUUCCUUAUUAGUGGGGGAGAAUUGUAACGACCCGAAUUUUUGGUCAGGAAUUUUGUUAGCCGGCUAAGGUCCAAGCAAUACUAAAGAUCCAAGUGUUUGCCUAUAAAUACCCCAUCCAGCUUUGUUUUCUCAGAAACAAGAAAAAGAAGUAACAAAGUUAGAAAAGAAAGAGAGAGAGAGAGAGUUCAAGAGAAGGAAUGAGAAAUCUUGCAAUUGAGCCACCAGGAGUCAUCGCCAGAGCCACCGCACGCCAAGACCACGUCAAGCUCAUCACCACCGUUCGUUGUAGUCGCCACCAGAAUCGUCGCAAUCGGAGCUCGGACGAAGCCGUACGAACCCUCCAAAGUUUUGCCAGAAAUCGUCUCCGCCACCACCGGACCACCGCUUCGCCGCCGCCGGAAAUCGUCUCCGCCGCCGGCCACCGCCGUUCUCCGCCGCCGGCCACCGUCGUCCUCCGCCGCCGCUCCGCCGUCCUCCGCCGAUUUGGAGUCUAUUUGAGCAGCUGGAGUUCAUAGACAUCACUUCUCUUCAUUUGCUAAGGUGAGACCGAUGAGCAGGAGUGAUCAUAUCGGACUAGUGCUACUAUUUGGGCUCGUGGGCUUUAUCGUUUAUCGUUUUAUCUUUUAUCGUUAUUGGGCCUUCAGGCCUUUGGACUUCUAUCGUUUAUGUUAUUUCUUAUUUCAGCCUUCGGGAUUAUGUUGUUAUUUAUAUUUCGGAUGUUUAUUUUCGGAUUUGACUUUAUGACAUGACGUGGAGUUUAUUAUCCGUAUUAUUAUUAUUAUUUCCGCUGCGUUACUAUUUAUUUAUCG
Raphanus sativus (radish) is the source of this 860-nucleotide long non-coding RNA. RefSeq lists it as uncharacterized. Lineage: Eukaryota; Viridiplantae; Streptophyta; Magnoliopsida; Brassicales; Brassicaceae. The transcript is spliced from 4 exons. The record is from RefSeq and is a predicted model, not a curated record.